GGUGCCGUGGCUCGGAUGUGUACGGCCUUCUCCCCCCCUCCUCCUCUCCUCCAUGGCCGUCGUGCUCCGGCUUCUCGGCCUCUCCGGGAGCGCUCCGUGGCCGGCGGGCAGCAGCGCACGUCGCGAUCGCCGCGGCUGGCUCCAGUGACCGCGCCCCAGCCCGGCCAUGUACCCCCAGGGCCGGCACCCGGUGAGUCCCG
Oxyura jamaicensis (ruddy duck) is the source of this 200-nucleotide long non-coding RNA. RefSeq lists it as uncharacterized. The record is from RefSeq and is a predicted model, not a curated record. Lineage: Eukaryota; Metazoa; Chordata; Aves; Anseriformes; Anatidae. The transcript has 3 exons.